AAGAAGUGUGACAUGCCGUUUGGUGAUAAACUCUAAUGUUAUAUUUAUUAUUUAAUUGAUUUUGGGAAACGGGGUGUUACAAUUGC
Molecule: microRNA precursor, 86 nt
Filed under: Medicago truncatula (barrel medic)
Lineage: Eukaryota; Viridiplantae; Streptophyta; Magnoliopsida; Fabales; Fabaceae
Description: MIR2617 microRNA precursor family
Rfam family: MIR2617 microRNA precursor family
Source: Rfam by way of RNAcentral